RNAcentral lists this ribosomal RNA (749 nucleotides) under Trentepohlia sp. TreFl59. RNAcentral describes it as "SSU rRNA". It matches the Rfam family "Eukaryotic small subunit ribosomal RNA", at positions 260 to 1018 of the family's 1831-position model. Lineage: Eukaryota; Viridiplantae; Chlorophyta; Ulvophyceae; Trentepohliales; Trentepohliaceae. The record is from RNAcentral.
CUUCACGAAUCGCAUGGCUCUACGCCGGCGAUGUUUCAUUCAAAUUUCUGCCCUAUCAACUUUCGACGGUAGGGUAGUGGCCUACCGUGGUGGUAACGGGUGACGGAGGAUUAGGGUUCGAUUCCGGAGAGGGAGCCUGAGAAACGGCUACCACAUCCAAGGAAGGCAGCAGGCGCGCAAAUUACCCAAAUCCCAACUCGGGGAGGUAGUGACAAGAAAUAACGAUGCUCCGACCAACGGUCGGGUAAUCGGAAUGAGAACAAUUUAAAUCCCUUAUCGAGGAUCAAUUGGAGGGCAAGUCUGGUGCCAGCAGCCGCGGUAAUUCCAGCUCCAAUAGCGUAUAUUUAAGUUGCUGCGGUUAAAAAGCUCGUAGUCGGAUUUCGGGUGGGUCCUGCCGGUCCGCCUCUGGUGUGUACUGGUAGGCGCCACCUUUCUGCCGAGGACGGGCUCCUGGGCUUAAGUGCCUGGGACCCGGAGUCGGCGUUGUCACUUUGAGUAAAUUAGGGUGUUUAAAGCAGGCUUAUGCUCUGAAUACACUAGCAUGGGAUGACACGAUAGGACUUCGGUCUAUCUUGUCGGUCUGUAUACCGGAGUAAUGAUUAAGAGGGACAGUCGGGGGCAUUCGUAUUUCGUAGUCAGAGGUGAAAUUCUUGGAUUUACGGAAGACGAACUUCUGCGAAAGCAUUUGCCAAGGAUGUUUUCAUUGAUCAAGAACGAAAGUCGGGGGCUCGAAGACGAUUAGAUACCGU